RNAcentral lists this ribosomal RNA (1341 nucleotides) under uncultured bacterium. Its description in RNAcentral is "partial 16S ribosomal RNA". It matches the Rfam family "Bacterial small subunit ribosomal RNA", at positions 28 to 1381 of the family's 1533-position model. The record is from RNAcentral.
GACGAACGCUGGCGGCGUGCUUAACACAUGCAAGUCGAACGGUAAGGCUCCAGCUUGCUGGGGUACACGAGUGGCGAACGGGUGAGUAACACGUGGGUGACCUGCCCUGCACUUCGGGAUAAGCCUGGGAAACUGGGUCUAAUACCGGAUAGGACCGCACCGUGAGGGUGUGGUGGAAAGUUUUUUCGGUGUGGGAUGGGCCCGCGGCCUAUCAGCUUGUUGGUGGGGUAAUGGCCUACCAAGGCGGCGACGGGUAGCCGGCCUGAGAGGGUGGACGGCCACAUUGGGACUGAGACACGGCCCAGACUCCUACGGGAGGCAGCAGUGGGGAAUAUUGCACAAUGGGCGGAAGCCUGAUGCAACGACGCCGCGUGGGGGAUGACGGCCUUCGGGUUGUAAACUCCUUUCACCAUCGACGAACGGUUUCUGACUGUAGAUGGAGAAGAAGCACCGGCUAACUACGUGCCAUCAGCCGCGGUAAUACCUAGGGUGCGAGCGUUGUCCGGAAUUACUGGGCGUAAAGAGCUCGUAGGUGGUUUGUCGCGUCGUCUGUGAAAUUCCGGGGCUUAACUCCGGGCGUGCAGGCGAUACGGGCAUAACUUGAGUACUGUAGGGGAGACUGGAAUUCCUGGUGUAGCGGUGAAAUGCGCAGAUAUCAGGAGGAACACCGGUGGCGAAGGCGGGUCUCUGGGCAGUAACUGACGCUGAGGAGCGAAAGCAUGGGGAGCGAACAGGAUUAGAUACCCUGGUAGUCCAUGCCGUAAACGGUGGGCGCUAGGUGUGGGUUUCCUUCCACGGGAUCCGUGCCGUAGCUAACGCAUUAAGCGCCCCGCCUGGGGAGUACGGCCGCAAGGCUAAAACUCAAAGGAAUUGACGGGGGCCCGCACAAGCGGCGGAGCAUGUGGAUUAAUUCGAUGCAACGCGAAGAACCUUACCUGGGCUUGACAUAUACAGGAUCGCGCCAGAGAUGGUGUUUCCCUUGUGGCUUGUAUACAGGUGGUGCAUGGUUGUCGUCAGCUCGUGUCGUGAGAUGUUGGGUUAAGUCCCGCAACGAGCGCAACCCUUGUCUUAUGUUGCCAGCACGUUGUGGUGGGGACUCGUAAGAAACUGCCGGGGUUAACUCGGAGGAAGGUGGGGAUGACGUCAAAUCAUCAUGCCCCUUAUGCCCAGGGCUUCACACAUGCUACAAUGGUCGGUACAGUGGGUUGCCAGUCCGUGAGGGCGAGCUAAUCCCGCAAAGCCGGUCUCAGUUCGGAUCGGGGUCUGCAACUCGACCCCGUGAAGUCGGAGUCGCUAGUAAUCGCAGAUCAGCAACGCUGCGGUGAAUACGAUCCCGGGCCU